AAUGAGGCAAAGGUUGGGGAAGCUGAGAGACUAACAUAAGGGAUCUGAGAAUCACUUCCACAAUAAAGGAGGCUUAGAAAAGGGAGUAGAACGGUGACAAAGGUGGAGGAGAAUCGGCCAGGGAAGGUGGAGGGAAGUGGGGAAUGACUGAGAGAAAAGUUGAGGGGAAUUGGGCCAACAACUAAGGAAAGGUUUGGGAGGAGUAGAUAUUAUCAGAGUUCUAAUAUCUGCACUGUGAGAACUAGAUACUAGAAAAGCUGAGGGGGGUAGAAAACACUCGAGACAGGGCUGGAGAAGGAAAGAGGAGAACUAGGAAGCAGACGAUUCUAGAGAAUUCCCAGAGGUGUAAAGACAGAUUCAGCGAAUGAGAGGUGAGAUUAGGUCUCUUAAGGGAGAAUGAGAAAGUUUAGGGAGUAGGCCUAAGGUAAGGUGGAGAACAUAGCCACGAAGAUUGUUAAGGGUAGUAGGAAUGUGCUGAGAAGCUGGACAGGAUAAGGGAGAGAGAAGAAGGAGAGGACUGAAGAAUUUACAGAGUGAGAAGCUGGACAGGAUAAGGGAGAGAGAAGAAGGAGAGAACUGAAGAAUUUACAGAGUGACCAUAGGCUCUAAAGAUUGAGAGAUGACUAUAAAUACGGUUUGGUGAAUGGAAGUGCUGCAGUUGUAAGGUCUGGGAAGCUUAGAGGAAGAUUUGGGCAAUCAGUUUUUGCUGGGCUAGUAGAUCUGAGGGAAGCGACGUACUGGCCUAAGACUUUGAAUUAGUGAAGCAUUGGGAGUUCGAGAAAUAGUUUGCUGGAAAGGAAGGAGAGCCAUGUAGA
Molecule: long non-coding RNA, 815 nt
Filed under: Homo sapiens (human)
Lineage: Eukaryota; Metazoa; Chordata; Mammalia; Primates; Hominidae
Description: non-protein coding lnc-DNAJB13-4:1
Source: RNAcentral